UUGGUCAUUUAGAGGAAGUAAAAGUCGUAACAAGGUCUCCGUAGGUGAACCUGCGGAGGGAUCAUUACACAAAUUAAAAUAUGAAGGCUUCGGCUGGAUUAUUUUUAUCACCCUUGUCUUUUGCGCACUUGUUGUUUCCUGGGCGGGUUCGCCCGCCACCAGGACCACACCAUAAACCUUUUUUAUGCAGUUGCAAUCAGCGUCAGUAUAACAAAUGUAAAUCAUUUACAACUUUCAACAACGGAUCUCUUGGUUCUGGCAUCGAUGAAGAACGCAGCGAAAUGCGAUACGUAGUGUGAAUUGCAGAAUUCAGUGAAUCAUCGAAUCUUUGAACGCACAUUGCGCCCUUUGGUAUUCCAAAGGGCAUGCCUGUUCGAGCGUCAUUUGUACCCUCAAGCUUUGCUUGGUGUUGGGCGUCUUUUGUCUUUGGCCUCGCCCAAAGACUCGCCUUAAAACGAUUGGCAGCCGGCCUACUGGUUUCGCAGCGCAGCACAUUUUUGCGCUUGCAAUCAGCAAAAAGGACGGCAAUCCAUCAAGACUACAUUUUUACGUUUGACCUCGGAUCAGGUAGGGAUACCCGCUGAACUUAAGCAUAUCAAUAAG
This 603-nucleotide ribosomal RNA is filed under the name uncultured fungus. Its description in RNAcentral is "eukaryotic LSU rRNA". The stretch from base 230 to 383 matches the Rfam family "5.8S ribosomal RNA". Lineage: Eukaryota; Fungi. The record is from RNAcentral.